GGGUGCGACCAUACCAGCACUAACGCACCGAAUCCCAUCAGAACUCCGAAGUUAAGUGUGUUUGGGCGAGAGUAGUACUAGGAUGGGUGACCCCCUGGGAAGUCCUCGUGUUGCACCCC
Molecule: ribosomal RNA, 119 nt
Filed under: Olea europaea subsp. europaea
Lineage: Eukaryota; Viridiplantae; Streptophyta; Magnoliopsida; Lamiales; Oleaceae
Source: RNAcentral